UACCCCAUAACAUUUUGAAUGGCAUCAUUUAAAAUUGAAAACUCCGGUGGAUAGAGAUGGGCACGCGCAAGAUUAGAUAGUUGGUGAGGUAACGGCUCACCAAGUCUGCGAUCUUUAGGGGGCCUGAGAGGGUGAUCCCCCACACUGGUACUGAGACACGGACCAGACUCCUACGGGAGGCAGCAGUGAGGAAUAUUGGACAAUGGGUGCGAGCCUGAUCCAGCCAUCCCGCGUGAAGGACGACGGCCCUAUGGGUUGUAAACUUCUUUUGUAUAGGGAUAAACCUAGAUACGUGUAUCUAGCUGAAGGUACUAUACGAAUAAGCACCGGCUAACUCCGUGCCAGCAGCCGCGGUAAUACGGAGGGUGCAAGCGUUAUCCGGAUUUAUU
RNAcentral lists this ribosomal RNA (389 nucleotides) under uncultured soil bacterium. Its description in RNAcentral is "bacterial SSU rRNA". It matches the Rfam family "Bacterial small subunit ribosomal RNA", at positions 167 to 555 of the family's 1533-position model. The record is from RNAcentral.